ACCUAUAUAGUUUAAGUUUAAAAAAUUUGGCUCUGUUGACUAAUGAGUUUGCCGACCACUGGCCCAGAGGCAGGACUGCUUGUUGAGACGGGCCGGUGGUUGUGGUAGUCGGGGUCCCAGCAGGAGACAGGAACACUCUGGUUGAGGCCACCUGAGGGUCUCCUAGGGGCAUCAGCACGAAGGCGGAGCAGGGCGUAGGAAACCCAAAUGGCAAGGACAUUUCUGGAAGAGAGGGUGACCUUGACAAAGGCAGGGCUGUAGGCGGAGGCCACAGUGACCCCCGCAGGCAAGGAGCUGGGGGUGAACAUCCCUGAUCAUUUCUCCCUUCUUCAGUCUUGGGAGCCCUCGCUGUGUCCACACAGGUGGCCUGCGGGCCCUGCAGCGGGCGGAGCAGGGUGGCAGUGGGUCAGGAAGGGCAGACUUCAGGCCCAGGUCACUGCCUUUAGGAAGUCAGGGCCCUGCCUCUCCUGGCCAGUUUGGCUGGACUCUUCACCUGCUAUGCUUCUGUGACGGACCCUGCAAGGGGAACGCUGGCAGGGACUUGGUGCUGUGUGUUCCUCCUGGGGCCUGCACACCCCCAGCCGUGGCUGGGUCCCACGCCAAGUGCCAGCAGCUCCUGGGACGCUGAGGAUGGUGCCGGUGGAGGGGCCAGCCUUGGACAGGCGCCCUCUGCUGUGAGCCCUUUUGUCUAGCACCUGCUCGGGCCAUGCCCUGAACCCCAGCAGCUCUGGCCUAGCCUUUGGUUUCACCUUGGCCAUAUCCAGGCAGCGGGCAGUGUGCACCAGACAGCGCAGGCACCACCCCUCGGUCCUCACUGGGAGGCCAAGGCAGACAGCGGCACCUUCUGCUCAAAUUCGCUUCUCCGGGCUCAUCCAGCCGGAACUGGCAGGUUGCGAGUGGACACCAGGCCUUCAGCCCACCAGACAGGGAGGGGUGCCCUGUGUCCUUGCCUUGAUGUGAGGGCUGUUGGGUGCAAUCAGGGGUGGGCAGGACGGAAAGAGUGGCCAGCAGGGUCCCACUCUGCCUUCCUUCCAGGGGACUCCUCUCCGGUCUGAGUGAAGACGUUGGACACGCUGGCCUCUGAGAGUGGCCACCAGGAGACACUGGUUUGUCCUGUCUCAGCCCGGCAGUCCCUGGACUAGAAGAGUCUUCCCUUCAGGGCGUGAGGCUGGCUCCUCCUGGAGCUCAGAUGAAGUGGAUGCUGGCGGCUGGGUGCCCAGGGAGGUGCCGCCCUCACUGCUCCUCUGCAGGGAGUCGGGUUCCUGGUUCUUGGCUGGUCUUGGGUGGCUCCAGGCCUGGCUUCUGACUGGCAUUCUCUGACCCAGGUUUUGGCACUGUGUCUCCGUCUGCUUCCCUCUGGCAUCUGAGUGGGAAAUGGGUGUUUAAUAAACAGGUUCCUAAUGA
Molecule: long non-coding RNA, 1404 nt
Organism: Myotis brandtii (Brandt's bat)
Lineage: Eukaryota; Metazoa; Chordata; Mammalia; Chiroptera; Vespertilionidae
Exons: 3
Source: RefSeq, a predicted model, not a curated record